GAUGAUAAAUGAGUAGGGCGGGACACGUGAAAUCCUGUCUGAAUAUGGGGGGACCAUCCUCCAAGGCUAAAUACUCCUGAAAGACCGAUAGUGAACAAGUACUGUGAAGGAAAGGUGAAAAGCACUUCGAAUAGAAGGGUGAAAUAGAACCUGAAACCGUACGCCUACAAGCGGUCGGAGCACCUAUAUGGUGUGACGGCGUGCCUUUUGCAUAAUGAGCCUACGAGUUAAUUUUACUAGCGAGGUUAAGGUAUUAAGUACCGGAGCCGGAGCGAAAGCGAGUCUGAAUAGGGCGUAUAGUUAGUAGGAUUAGACGCGAAACCUUGUGAUCUACCCAUGGGCAGGUUGAAGCUCUGGUAACACAGAGUGGAGGACCGAACCGGUUGACGUUGAAAAGUCUUCGGAUGACCUGUGGGUAGGGGUGAAAGGCCAAUCAAACUGGGAGAUAGCUCGUACUCUCCGAAAUGCAUUUAGGUGCAGCGUCGUAUAUAAGUUUAUUAGAGGUAGAGCUACUGAUUGGAUGCGGGGGUUUCAUCGCCUACCAAUUCCUGACAAACUCCGAAUGCUAAUAAAUGUUCUACGGCAGUGAGGGCAUGGGUGCUAAGGUCCAUGUCCGAGAGGGAAAGAACCCAGACCAACAGCUAAGGUCCCAAAAUAUAUGUUAAGUUGAAGCAACGCGGUUGGACUGCAUUGACAGCUAGGAUGUUGGCUUGGAAGCAGCCAUUCAUUUAAAGAGUGCGUAACAGCUCACUAGUCGAGCGGUCCGGCAUGGAUAAUAAUCGGGCAUAAACAUAUUACCGAAGCUAUGGAUUUGUAUUUAAGAUACAUCUGGUAGGAGAGCAUUCUAUUUGCGCUGAAGCAGUACUGUGAGGUAUUGUGGAGCGGAUAGAAAAGAAAAUGUAGGCAUAAGUAACGAUAAAGCGGGCGAGAAACCCGCUCACCGAAAGACUAAGGUUUCCUCAGCCAUGCUAAUCAGCUGAGGGUUAGUCGGGACCUAACGCGAACCCGAAAGGGGUAGUGGAUGGACAAUGGGUUAAUAUUCCCAUACUUGCUCACACUAAAAAGGGGACGGAGUGCCGUACUUACUGGAGACUGACGGAAUAGUCAAGGCCUAGCCUUCGGGCGAAGCUGCUGUAGGGAAAGUGCUUCCAAGAAAAGCCGAAGUGAAGCAACCCGUACCAAAACCGACACAGGUAGUCGAGGAGAGAAUCCUAAGGUGCUAGAGUGAAUCAUGGUUAAGGAACUAGGCAAAAUAGUCUCGUAACUUCGGGAGAAGAGACGCCAUCAGCAAUGGUGGCCGCAGUAAAGAGGCCCAGGCGACUGUUUAUCAAAAACACAGGACUCUGCAAAAUCGAAAGAUGCAGUAUAGGGUCUGACACCUGCCCGGUGCUGGAAGGUUAAGGAAGGUGCUUAGGGUUAAACCGAAGGCAUUGACUGAAGCCCCAGUAAACGGCGGCCGUAACUAUAACGGUCCUAAGGUAGCGAAAUUCCUUGUCGGGUAAGUUCCGACCUGCACGAAUGGUGUAACGAUCUGGGCACUGUCUCAACCAUGAGCUCUGUGAAAUUGUAGUAUCGGUGAAGAUGCCGAUUACCCGCAAUGGGACGAAAAGACCCUGUGAACCUUUACUAUAACUUCGUAUUGACUUUGAGUAAGUAAUGUGUAGGAUAGGUGGGAGGCUUUGAAGCUUGCACGCUAGUGUAGGUGGAGCCAACGUUGAAAUACCACCCUUUACUUACUUGGAGCCUAACUUCUUUUAGAAGGACAUUGCGUGGUGGGUAGUUUGACUGGGGUGGUCGCCUCCAAAAGAGUAACGGAGGCUUUCAAAGGUACCCUCAGCACGCUUGGUAACCGUGCGUAGAGUGUAAUGGCAUAAGGGUGCUUGACUGUGAGACCUACAAGUCGAUCAGGUGCGAAAGCAGGACAUAGUGAUCCGGUGGUUCCGUAUGGAAGGGCCAUCGCUCAUAGGAUAAAAGGUACUCCGGGGAUAACAGGCUAGUCUCCCCCAAGAGCUCACAUCGACGGGGAGGUUCGGCACCUCGAUGUCGGCUCGUCACAUCCUGGGGCUGGAGAAGGUCCCAAGGG
This 2083-nucleotide ribosomal RNA is filed under the name Chryseobacterium sp. YR485. Its description in RNAcentral is "bacterial LSU rRNA". It matches the Rfam family "Bacterial large subunit ribosomal RNA", at positions 400 to 2571 of the family's 2925-position model. Lineage: Bacteria; Pseudomonadati; Bacteroidota; Flavobacteriia; Flavobacteriales; Weeksellaceae. The record is from RNAcentral.